This 28-nucleotide small RNA is filed under the name Bombyx mori (domestic silkworm). RNAcentral's name for it is "ovarian small RNA-33547". Lineage: Eukaryota; Metazoa; Arthropoda; Insecta; Lepidoptera; Bombycidae. The record is from RNAcentral.
UGCAUACCAACUGCCUUUAUGCUUUGAG